RNAcentral lists this ribosomal RNA (741 nucleotides) under uncultured Candidatus Poseidoniales archaeon. RNAcentral's name for it is "bacterial SSU rRNA". It matches the Rfam family "Archaeal small subunit ribosomal RNA", at positions 102 to 857 of the family's 1478-position model. The record is from RNAcentral. Lineage: Archaea; Methanobacteriati; Thermoplasmatota; Candidatus Poseidoniia; Candidatus Poseidoniales.
GGAUAACCUGCCCUAUUGUCUGGAAUAACCUCGGGAAACUGAGAACAAGGCCGGAUAGCCCACAAUGCCUGGAACGGUUUGUGGGUGAAGAUAGGAUGGGUCUGCGGCGUAUCAGGUUGUAGGGGGUGUAAUGGACCUCCUAGCCAUCGACGCGUACGGGUGUUGGGAGACAUAGCCCGGAGAUGGAUUCUGAGACACGAAUCCAGACCCUACGGGGUGCAGCAGGCGCGAAAACUUCACACUGCAGGAAACUGUGAUGAGGGAACUCCAAGUGCUAUCACUAUGUGGUAGCUUUUCUUGACUAUUAAUCGGUCAUGGAAUAAGGGCUGGGAAAGACCGGUGCCAGCCGCCGCGGUAAUACCGGCAGCUCAAGUGGUCGCCGCUUUUAUUGGGCCUAAAACGUCCGUAGCCUGUUUGGUAAAUCUGUGGGCAAAUCAACCAGCUUAACUGGUUGAAUUCUGCAGAGACUGCCAGACUAGGGACCGGGAGAGGUGUGGGGUACUCUAGGGGUAGGGGUAAAAUCCUGUCAUCCUUAGAGGACCACCAGUUGCGAAGGCGCCACACUGGAACGGAUCCGACGGUCAGGGACGAAGCCUAGGGGCACGAACCGGAUUAGAUACCCGGGUAGUCCUAGGUGUAAACGCUGUGAACUUGGUGUCGGGGAUCCGUAAUGGGUCCUCGGUGCCGGAGUAAAGAUGUUAAGUUCACUGCCUGGGGAGUACGGUCGCAAGGCUGAAACUU